Molecule: small nuclear RNA, 108 nt
Organism: Ochotona princeps (American pika)
Lineage: Eukaryota; Metazoa; Chordata; Mammalia; Lagomorpha; Ochotonidae
Source: RefSeq, a predicted model, not a curated record
GUGCUCACUUCAGCAGCACAUAUGCUAAAAUUGGAAUGUUACAGAGAACGUUAGCAUGGUCCCUACGCAAGGAUAUAACGUAAAAGACAAAGGAUAGAGAGAAGUCAU